UUCCUACGGGAGGCAGCAGUGAGGAAUAUUGGUCAAUGGGCGGGAGCCUGAACCAGCCAAGUCGCGUGAGGGAAGACGGUCCUACGGAUUGUAAACCUCUUUUGCCGGGGAGCAACGGGGUCCUUGCGAGGGCCAGAUGAGAGUACCCGGAGAAAAAGCAUCGGCUAACUCCGUGCCAGCAGCAGCGGUAAUACGGAGGAUGCGAGCGUUAUCCGGAUUUAUUGGGUUUAAAGGGAGCGUAGGCGGGCUGUUAAGUCAGCGGUUAAAUGUCGGGGCUCAAGC
Molecule: ribosomal RNA, 282 nt
Filed under: uncultured bacterium
Lineage: Bacteria
Description: partial 16S ribosomal RNA
Rfam family: Bacterial small subunit ribosomal RNA
Source: RNAcentral